AUUGAACGCUGGCGGCAGGCCUAACACAUGCAAGUCGAGCGGAUGACGGGAGCUUGCUCCUUGAUUCAGCGGCGGACGGGUGAGUAAUGCCUAGGAAUCUGCCUGGUAGUGGGGGACAACGUUUCGAAAGGAACGCUAAUGCCGCAUACGUCCUACGGGAGAAAGCAGGGGACCUUCGGGCCUUGCGCUAUCAGAUGAGCCUAGGUCGGAUUAGCUAGGUGGUGGGGUAAUGGCUCACCAAGGCGACGAUCCGUAACUGGUCUGAGAGGAUGAUCAGUCACACUGGAAAUGAGACACGGUCCAGACUCCUACGGGAGGCAGCAGUGGGGAAUAUUGGACAAUGGGCGAAAGCCUGAUCCAGCCAUGCCGCGUGUGUGAAGAAGGUCUUCGGAUUGUAAAGCACUUUAAGUUGGGAGGAAGGGCAGUAAGUUAAUACCUUGCUGUUUUGACGUUACCGACAGAAUAAGCACCGGCUAACUCUGUGCCAGCCGCCGCCGUAA
Molecule: ribosomal RNA, 500 nt
Filed under: uncultured bacterium
Lineage: Bacteria
Description: partial 16S ribosomal RNA
Rfam family: Bacterial small subunit ribosomal RNA
Source: RNAcentral